RNAcentral lists this ribosomal RNA (494 nucleotides) under uncultured bacterium. RNAcentral describes it as "partial 16S ribosomal RNA". It matches the Rfam family "Bacterial small subunit ribosomal RNA", at positions 28 to 507 of the family's 1533-position model. The record is from RNAcentral.
GACGAACGCUGGCGGCGUGCUUAACACAUGCAAGUCGAACGGUGAAGCGCCUUCCUUUUUGGUGGGUGUGGAUGAGUGGCGAACGGGUGAGUAACACGUGAGUAACCUGCCCCCUUCUUCUGGAUAACCGCAUGAAAGUGUGGCUAAUACGGGAUAUUCUGGGUCUGUCGCAUGAUUGGUCUGGGAAAGAUAUUGUUUCGGUUGGGGAUGGGCUCGCGGCCUAUCAGCUUGUUGGUGGGGUGAUGGCCUACCAAGGCGGUGACGGGUAGCCGGCCUGAGAGGGUGGACGGUCACACUGGGACUGAGACACGGACCAGACUCCUACGGGAGGCAGCAGUGGGGAAUAUGGCACAAUGGGCGGAAGCCUGAUGCAGCGACGCCGCGGGAGGGAUGGAGGCCGGCGGGUUGUGAACCUCUUUCGCCAGUGAAGCAGGCCUGCCUCGUUUGUGGGUGGGUUGACGGUAGCUGGAUAAGAAGCGCCGGCUAACUACGUG